CUGCCCUCAAGCCCGGCUUGUGUGUUGGGCCUCGUCCCCCCUCAGCGGGGGACGGGCCCGAAAGGCAGCGGCGGCACCGUGUCCGGUCCUCGAGCGUAUGGGGCUUUGUCACCCGCUCUGUAGGCCCGGCCGGCGCCUUAGCCGACGACACAAUCUUUUUUUUCA
Molecule: unclassified non-coding RNA, 165 nt
Filed under: uncultured Penicillium
Lineage: Eukaryota; Fungi; Ascomycota; Eurotiomycetes; Eurotiales; Aspergillaceae
Description: sequence contains ITS2
Source: RNAcentral